This 777-nucleotide ribosomal RNA is filed under the name uncultured Neocallimastigales. RNAcentral describes it as "partial large subunit ribosomal RNA". It matches the Rfam family "Eukaryotic large subunit ribosomal RNA", at positions 20 to 643 of the family's 3401-position model. Lineage: Eukaryota; Fungi; Neocallimastigomycota; Neocallimastigomycetes; Neocallimastigales. The record is from RNAcentral.
CAUCACUACGCUAGAUGUAUAUCAAUAAGCGGAGGAAAAGAAACUAACAAGGAUUCUCUUAGUAACGGCGAGUGAAGCGGGAAGAGCUCAAAUUUGAAAUCUUCAAGGUUCUACCUUGACGAAUUGUAGUUUAUAGAAGUGUUUUCUGUUAGGUGUAUUGCUAAAAGUUCUUUGGAAUAGGACAUCAUAGAGGGUGAGAAUCCCGUAUUUGUACCAUUCCUCCUAGCGUUGUGAUACACUUUCAACGAGUCGGAUUGUUUGGGAAUGCAGUCCAAAAUGGGUGGUAAAUUUCAUCUAAAGCUAAAUAUUGGCGAGAGACCGAUAGCGAACAAGUACCGUGAGGGAAAGAUGAAAAGAACUUUGAAAAGAGAGUUAAACAGUACGUGAAAUUGUCAAAAGGGAAGCGUUUGACACCAGUGUUGUUUUUCUCGAAAAUCAAUUACGAAUGUUUUGUUUUUGAGGAGUUAUGACUUCAUCGGCUUGCUCCUUUCUUUACGAAACUUUCUUAAUGCACUUUUCGGUUAACAAGUCAACAUCAAUUUCUUUUGUUGUAAAAGGGUAUGAGGAAGGUGGCUUUCUUUUCGGAGAAAGUGUUUAUAGCCUUGUGCCUCUGCAAUCGGAGAGAUUGAGGUCUGCAGCGUAGAUCCUUCGGGGUUAGAUACGUUUGUGCUAAGUUAUAGCUUUUCAUAGACAACUUGUUGACUAUGUUUAGUCUUGUAGCUUACUCGCUGACGCUAUUUUACCUACGCUUAGGAUGUUGACACACGCGCGUGCUCG